RNAcentral lists this small nucleolar RNA (78 nucleotides) under Carlito syrichta (Philippine tarsier). Its description in RNAcentral is "Small nucleolar RNA SNORD96 family (ENSTSYG00000033271.1)". It matches the Rfam family "Small nucleolar RNA SNORD96 family". From Rfam's summary of the family: snoRNA Z37 is a member of the C/D class of snoRNA which contain the C (UGAUGA) and D (CUGA) box motifs. Z37 acts as a methylation guide for 5.8S ribosomal RNA. Lineage: Eukaryota; Metazoa; Chordata; Mammalia; Primates; Tarsiidae. The record is from Rfam by way of RNAcentral.
GGUCCUGGUGAUGACAGACGGCACUGUCGGCCAAUCCCCGCGUGGGAGUGAGGACACGUCCUGCAAUUCUGAGGGGCU